UACGAAGGGGGCUAGCGUUGCUCGGAAUCACUGGGCGUAAAGCGCACGUAGGCGGCUUUCUAAGUCAGGGGUGAAAUCCUGGAGCUCAACUCCAGAACUGCCUUUGAUACUGGAAAGCUUGAGUUCGGGAGAGGUGAGUGGAACUGCGAGUGUAGAGGUGAAAUUCGUAGAUAUUCGCAAGAACACCAGUGGCGAAGGCGGCUCACUGGCCCGAUACUGACGCUGAGACACGAAAGCGUGGGGAGCAAACAGG
This 253-nucleotide ribosomal RNA is filed under the name uncultured bacterium. Its description in RNAcentral is "partial 16S ribosomal RNA". It matches the Rfam family "Bacterial small subunit ribosomal RNA", at positions 524 to 776 of the family's 1533-position model. The record is from RNAcentral.